This 73-nucleotide transfer RNA is filed under the name Daphnia pulex (common water flea). It matches the Rfam family "tRNA". From Rfam's summary of the family: Transfer RNA (tRNA) molecules are approximately 80 nucleotides in length. The record is from Rfam by way of RNAcentral. Lineage: Eukaryota; Metazoa; Arthropoda; Branchiopoda; Diplostraca; Daphniidae.
GCCCGGUUAGUUCAGAUGGUAGAGCGCGGGACUUUUAAUCCUUAGGUCAAGGGUUCAAGUCCCUUAUCGGGCG